This 689-nucleotide unclassified non-coding RNA is filed under the name Hevea brasiliensis (rubber tree). Lineage: Eukaryota; Viridiplantae; Streptophyta; Magnoliopsida; Malpighiales; Euphorbiaceae. The record is from RNAcentral.
GAUGUUUAUAGGUUUUACUACCGCCACCACCAACAAAGUAAAAUUGGUUUUACUACAGACAGAUUAAUGCUGAUUCGCCAGACAUCACUAUGAACUUCCCAAAAAAAUAAAAAGAUCUCCGAAUUCACUGACUACCAAGCUUGAUGAUCACUGCGAAAAACUACAAUCUUAUAUUCAGACCAUCAUAGAAUUGCCAACAGAGUGACUUAGUCCUGCACUUUAUCUGGAAUAGAACGCCUCCAUAUGCCAGCCAAGGCACUGCCAAAUAUCGAAUGGCAAACACUAGAAACGGCACAUGGUACUGCAGUAAGUGGAUUACCAAAGUGCUGAGUGGCUAGAACUACUCCAAGAACCGAGUUCUGCAUUCCGACUUCAAUAGAUAUUGUCCUUGAGGAGGACAUAUCAACUCCAAGCAUCCUUGCGAGUACAUAGCCAAAGAAGAAGCCAGACGCAUGAAGAAGAGCAGCAGCUAUGACAACCUGUUGUCCUGACAUAAGGAUUGCAGAAGAACUCUGUGCAAUUGCAUUUCCACAAAGAACAGCAACAGUUGCUACAGCAAUAGGUGGCAUCAAUGGAGACACGAUUUUGACUAGGCCUUUGAAAUACUGAUUCAGAAAUGCACCAGCUAAUACAGGAAGAAGCACCACCUGUAAAGUAGACAUGAAAAGUCCAGCUGCAUCUACUGCAAC